AGACUUUGAUUAUGGCUCAGAACGAACGCUGGCGGCAGGCCUAACACAUGCAAGUCGAACGCGUGCCUUCGGGCACGAGUGGCGGACGGGUGAGUAACGCGUGGGAAUUUGCCUUGGGGUACGGAAUAACCGCGGGAAACUGCGGCUAAUACCGUAUACGUCCUUCGGGAGAAAGAUUUAUCGCCCCAAGAUGAGCCCGCGUCCGAUUAGGUAGUUGGUGAGGUAACGGCUCACCAAGCCUUCGAUCGGUAGCUGGUCUGAGAGGAUGAUCAGCCACACUGGGACUGAGACACGGCCCAGACUCCUACGGGAGGCAGCAGUGGGGAAUAUUGGACAAUGGGGGAAACCCUGAUCCAGCCAUGCCGCGUGAGUGAAGAAGGCCUUAGGGUUGUAAAGCUCUUUCGGUGGUGACGAUGAUGACGGUAGCCACAGAAGAAGCCCCGGCUAACUCCGUGCCAGCAGCCGCGGUAAUACGGAGGGGGCAAGCGUUGUUCGGAAUUACUGGGCGUAAAGGGCGCGUAGCGGAUGAUCAAGUCAGAGUGAAAGCCCUGGGCUCAACUAGGAGGUGCCUUUUGAACUGAUUGUCUUGAGUCCGGGAGAGGAUAGCGGCAAUUCCCA
RNAcentral lists this ribosomal RNA (618 nucleotides) under uncultured bacterium. Its description in RNAcentral is "bacterial SSU rRNA". It matches the Rfam family "Bacterial small subunit ribosomal RNA", at positions 8 to 673 of the family's 1533-position model. The record is from RNAcentral.